Molecule: ribosomal RNA, 404 nt
Filed under: Actinomycetes bacterium
Lineage: Bacteria; Bacillati; Actinomycetota; Actinomycetes
Description: Actinobacteria bacterium partial 16S ribosomal RNA
Rfam family: Bacterial small subunit ribosomal RNA
Source: RNAcentral
UGGGGAAUAUUGGACAAUGGGCGCAAGCCUGAUCCAGCCAUGCCGCGUGAGUGAUGAAGGCCCUAGGGUUGUAAAGCUCUUUCACCGGUGAAGAUAAUGACGGUAACCGGAGAAGAAGCCCCGGCUAACUUCGUGCCAGCAGCCGCGGUAAUACGAAGGGGGCUAGCGUUGUUCGGAUUUACUGGGCGUAAAGCGCACGUAGGCGGACUUUUAAGUCAGGGGUGAAAUCCCGGGGCUCAACCCCGGAACUGCCUUUGAUACUGGAAGUCUUGAGUAUGGUAGAGGUGGGUGGAAUUCCGAGUGGAGGGGUGAAAUUCGUAGAUAUUCGGAGGAACACCAGUGGCGAAGGCGGCUCACUGGACCAUUACUGACGCUGAGGUGCGAAAGCGUGGGGAGCAAACAGG